Molecule: ribosomal RNA, 253 nt
Filed under: uncultured bacterium
Lineage: Bacteria
Description: partial 16S ribosomal RNA
Rfam family: Bacterial small subunit ribosomal RNA
Source: RNAcentral
UACGUAUGUGGCAAGCGUUGUCCGGAUUUACUGGGCGUAAAGAGCGCGCAGGCGGUCGUAUAAGUCGAAUGUGAAAGCCCCCGGCUCAACUGGGGAGGGUCAUUCGAUACUGUUCGACUCGAAGGCAGGAGAGGGAAGUGGAAUUCCGGGUGUAGUGGUGAAAUGCGUAGAUAUCCGGAGGAACACCAGUGGCGAAGGCGACUUUCUGGCCUGUUCUUGACGCUGAGGCGCGAAAGCUAGGGGAGCAAACGGG